RNAcentral lists this small RNA (125 nucleotides) under Loktanella atrilutea. Its description in RNAcentral is "Alphaproteobacterial ar14". It matches the Rfam family "Alphaproteobacterial ar14". From Rfam's summary of the family: Smr14C2 was renamed NfeR1 (Nodule Formation Efficiency RNA) highly expressed in salt stress and during the symbiotic interaction on legume roots. Lineage: Bacteria; Pseudomonadati; Pseudomonadota; Alphaproteobacteria; Rhodobacterales; Roseobacteraceae. The record is from Rfam by way of RNAcentral.
GGAUACGCCCGGCGCCGCAACCUCCUCCCUGCGGUCCGGGCACUGGAUGCGGGCCCUGACCUCCUCCCGAGGGGUCCCAUCGAAACGAAGGCGAUGCGCACCUCCUCCCGCGCAUCGCCUUUUUC